UACAGAGGUCUCAAGCGUUGUUCGGAUUCAUUGGGCGUAAAGGGUGCGUAGGUGGCGGGGUAAGUCUGGUGUGAAAUCUCGGGGCUCAACCCCGAAACUGCACUGGAUACUGCCUCGCUCGAGUACUGGAGAGGAGAUUGGAAUUUACGGUGUAGCAGUGAAAUGCGUAGAUAUCGUAAGAAAGACCAGUGGCGAAGGCGAAUCUCUGGACAGUUACUGACACUGAGGCACGAAGGCCAGGGGAGCAAACGGG
This 253-nucleotide ribosomal RNA is filed under the name uncultured bacterium. RNAcentral describes it as "partial 16S ribosomal RNA". It matches the Rfam family "Bacterial small subunit ribosomal RNA", at positions 524 to 776 of the family's 1533-position model. The record is from RNAcentral.